UCCAGUGAUAUGAUGCUGAAUGGCCUGACGGUGUCUACUACGACGGGAAAAAGGACGGUGGCGUGGAAGAGGAGAACCUCUCAACCACCCUGGAACGUCUGCAACAGCGACAAAUCAAGGAGCUGUGCACUAGC
This is a non-coding RNA of Chelonoidis abingdonii (Abingdon island giant tortoise), 134 nucleotides long. NCBI's taxonomy places the organism in Eukaryota, Metazoa, Chordata, Testudines, Testudinidae. The record is from RefSeq and is a predicted model, not a curated record.